Molecule: long non-coding RNA, 390 nt
Filed under: Homo sapiens (human)
Lineage: Eukaryota; Metazoa; Chordata; Mammalia; Primates; Hominidae
Description: non-protein coding lnc-DCP1A-2:1
Source: RNAcentral
AUGCCAUCCGAGGACAACAAGAGGAAAGACCCCGGGAAGUUGGCCAAAAAAGACAAAAACCCAGUGAACAAAUCCAGGGGCAAAGCCAAAAAGGAGUGGUCCAAAGGCAAAAUUUGGGAUAAGCUCAAUAACCAAGUCUUGUUUGACAAUGCUACUGUAAGGAAGCUUUGUAUGACAAACUCUGUAAGGAAGUUUCCAGCUAUAGGUUUAUAACCCCAGCUGUGGUCUCUCAGAGAUUGGAGAUUCGAGGCUCCCUGGCCAGGGCAGCCCUACAGGAGCUCCUUGGCAAAGGACUUAUCAAACUGGUUUCAAAACACAGAGCUCGAGUCAUUUACACCAGAAAUACCAAAAGUGGAGAUGCCACAACUGCUGGUGAAGAUGCAUGAACAG